Molecule: long non-coding RNA, 756 nt
Organism: Pongo pygmaeus (Bornean orangutan)
Lineage: Eukaryota; Metazoa; Chordata; Mammalia; Primates; Hominidae
Exons: 5
Source: RefSeq, a predicted model, not a curated record
ACCAUGGCAACAGCCUUAUCUGCCGCCCUAGAGCCUUUUCCCUAUAACAGUGAAAUCAACAAUGACUGUAUCAGGAGAGAUCUUUAACUUAUUAUUUAUUACAAGAUAUUCUAAUGUUUAAAGAGCAAUCCAACAUAAAUGAAGAGCUUACGUUUUUCAAGAGAGCAAAGUCAUUUGUGAAGAAUUCUUUCCAUGCUUCAAACAUAAGAAACAGCAUACACAAUACUGGACAUCACAGGACCCUCUCCGGCUGGAUACCAGGCUGUGGAGCCAUCAGAUGCUUCAGAUGAGAAAGUGUCCUGCUCUGUCGCCCAGGCUGGAGUGCAGUCGUGUGAUCUCGGUUCACUGCAACCUCAACCUCCUGGACUCAAGUGGAUCCUCCCACCUCAGCUUCCUAAGUAGCUGAGACUACAGUACUUUGCAACCUACCAAGUAUCAUCACAAGAGCUAUGAAAGUGAAGAGAGACAUGUUAUCUAAGAAUCUGAGAGAGAUGACUCAGUCAGCAUCCUCUGUCUUGGUGUACAAUGGUAGGGACAGCUACUGUGUCACCUGGAGCAUGACAAUGAGAACACAGACACUGGGUCGUCCUGAUAUAGCCUGCAGUCCAUCUGGGCUUCUAGACAUUCAUUUGCAUUUGCAUUCAUGCGCAUCCCCUACUACUCCAACUCCUACACCUUUUGGCAGGAAAUAUCCACACAGCUGGAUUGGAAUCAUAAGAUGUUUUUAUUUUUUGCCUCAUUAAACUAGUUUCUCUC